This is a long non-coding RNA of Oncorhynchus tshawytscha (Chinook salmon), 443 nucleotides long. NCBI's taxonomy places the organism in Eukaryota, Metazoa, Chordata, Actinopteri, Salmoniformes, Salmonidae. The record is from Ensembl.
GAGACAGACAGGAGACAGACAGGAGGCAGACAGGAUGCAGACAGGAGAUAGACAGGAGACAGACAGGAGACAGACAGGAGACAUACAGGAGACAGACAGGAGAUAGACAGGAGACAGACAGGAUACAGACAGGAUGCAGACAGGAUGCAGACAGGAGAUAGACAGGAGACAGACAGGAGACAGACAGGAGACAUACAGGAGACAGACAGGAGAUAGACAGGAGGCAGACACAGGAAAGGCAGGAGGCAGACAGGAGACAGACAGGGGACAGACAGGAGACAGACAGGAGGCAGACACGAGACAGGCAGGAGGCAGACAGGAGACAGACAGGGGACAGACAGGAGACAGACAGGAGGCAGACAGGAGACAGUCAGGAGACAGACCGGAGACAGACAGGAGACAGGCAGGAGACAAACAGGAGACAGACAGGAGGCAGACAGGAG